ACACCUCAACUCUCAUGGUUUGCCAUGAUGAGCUUGGACUUUGGGGGUCUUGCUGGCCUGUGGUCAGCUCCUCUCAAAUGAAUCAGCUUGCCAGUGUUUGGUGGCAUCACGGGUGUGAUAACUAUCUACGCUUGUGGUUUUCCGCCAGAUAACCUUCAGUGACAUGGAGGUUUGCUGGAGCUCAUAAACGUCUCUCCCCCAGCGAAGACAGCUUUGUGAAU
RNAcentral lists this unclassified non-coding RNA (221 nucleotides) under uncultured Tomentella. Its description in RNAcentral is "partial internal transcribed spacer 2". The record is from RNAcentral. Lineage: Eukaryota; Fungi; Basidiomycota; Agaricomycetes; Thelephorales; Thelephoraceae.